AAUUCUGAUAAGCCAUCGAUGGAAACCUUAGAAAUAUCACCAGUGCCGUUUUAGAAGGUGUGGACUGAGUAUUUUUUCUGUAGAACAAAUGAAUGCUUAUUGGUUGAGGAGUGGUUGGGGCUCAUGGUGAAUGUUUAAGAUCCGGUAGGGCAGAUAUUCAAACUAGGGGAGACUUCCUGUCAGUGUGAUGUUAAAUUUGCUGAGAAGCUAAGGAGUCCUGUGAGUCAAAGUGAGAGAAGCAGUUGAACAGACUUGUAGAACACAAGAGGAAAGAGGAAGGGAGAAGAUGCUGCUUGGGGUGGGGGGGGGGGGGUGACUAUGAAGAGUAUGAAUUAGGCUGGGUUUGGGAUAUGCAGGGUUCAAAAUGGCAAACAUGACCAAGACCAGAACGAGGCACACAGGUGUCCCCAGCUAAGUAUGCACGUUAUACUCGUUAACAUGAAAAGUUUUUAUCUCUACGUCCCCCUGUGCUUGGGAAACUGCGGCGAAUCGGCAUUCUUGUUGGCACACGUUGUCUGUUCGGGAUGACAUACGUUUGCUGUGGUUAAAGUUCUUCGUAGGCUUGCUUCCCAUGCUCAAGGUUUUUCAAUGCCUUGUGUGUUAUGUCCAUCACUUUCCCUACAAUACGUGUGGAACAGCUCCAGCAGUUCGCCAAUUGGUAAGUAAACAUUUCCUAGAAGUUUCUUAUUUAUAUAUUUUACUCAAAAAUGUAUAGGAGUUUGUUAUUUCUCUUGAAAGGCUUUUCGUUAUUCCUUGCAGCGUCAAAGGAGGAUGCAUUUAUGGUAUUUUAUCAUAGCAUGGGUUCACCGUGUGCUACAGACAAACACGUACACUAACGAAGGGACGAUAUGUUAAAUAAUUCUGCAGUUGGCUUUUAAAAUGGUUGACAUCGUAAGAAAUACUUGAAAGUUUUUUGUAAUAUUUUUGUGAUGGUUGAGAAAAUACGUUGGAUUUUUUAAAAGGGUGAUGUUAGGGACUUUUCAAAUUUAAGAUACUGCAAUAUAAGCAUUUACUAACAAAAGUGGUUAUUCAGCAUAUUUUAAACCAAAAGGUGAUGAAAAGUGCUUGAACGUAUAAAGAAGUUGAGGCAGGAAGAGAAUUGUGUGGUGAGGCAGUUCCGAAAAGAAGAAAGAGUGGAGAAAAAGAGGGACAGUAUCCAGGAAAGUAUGUUGGCGUAAAAAAGUGUGGCUGAUAAAGAGAAAGGUUUGGUGAAAUGGGCCUAAGGCAAGGCAAGUGGCAGGGAUCCUACCAAAGAAUAAACAGAAGCCAAGGCAGUUCAACAAAAUAUGUAGGAAAAAAGACAUAUGGAGACCGAUUGAACAAUGGAUGUAGGAUAAAAACAGGAACCAAACAGGGAUUUAUUAGCGAGUGUAUGAGAAUGAGACACACUCAGUAGACGGAUGGUUAAUAAAAGAUAAAACUGGGGGGGAGGGGGUCCAAGCAGAUGGGUGGAAAAGCGAAAUUUACCUUCAGCUGGGGAAGGUCAUGUGCAGAAUGGCAUCCUGAAACAAGCUUUGGCACUAUAACUGUAUCGGAUGGCACGAGGAAGAAUAGAGGUGAUAGAAGCUAAGUAAAGAGAAUGUCGUGUGGAUGAGAGCACAUUUCAGAGUAACUAGACUAAAUAGAACAUAAAACUAGAGUAAACGUAGGGAGACCCAGAAACCCGAGCGCGGUGAAGUAGCACACAAGUCAAGGAAGCGGAUGUAGGACUAAAGACUCGCUAAAGGUAGUGAAGAGCAUGAGGGCAGGAUGAAAUAGGUUAGGAGGCAGCUACAUGCAUUAGAGCGGAGUAUUGGCAAAAGGCAAAUGGGAGAAGAUAGACUGAGCUGCACGUUUAAUCCAGUUCCAAACACGGGAGGGGAAAGAGGUUAAGAAGCGGAUAAAGAGCGACUCCGUGGACGGGGGCGAGGGAAGGGUGUUGUGGAAGGGCACUGGAAAGUGCACAUCCAUACCUGGAAAGGGCAUCGAACUUCAUCAGAGAAAUGGUAGCGGGCAGGUAACGGAACAGCGUGGGAGUGCGGGAGGAGGCCCGGGGCCGAGGGACAGCGGGGCAGAGAAAGGCACGCACACAGAGGGGUUAAGCAGACAUAGGGUUAUGGGACUGAAAGAAUUCCGUAUUUGCUUUUUCUCAGGGACAAAACUGCCCCCAGUAAUAAUGGAAAUAAAAGAACAAAGAAGAAAUUGCAUGGCUUACACUACACACAGAGACCAUGAAAAAACUAGAGAACAGGAAAACCAGUGCCUGACAGGGAAAAUGGCAAAAGAGUGACAAAAUUAAGGUGGUUGGACAGAGAAUCUUGCAAAACCAGUCACAGCAUGUAAAUUUAAAAGAUAUGAAGGAUUCAUGAGUGAAGAGAAGAUAUUGAUGGCAAGGAGAGGGAAAUCAGGCUAAGAAGGAGGAGGUUAAGAGUGUAUAUAACUUCUUGUAGCCGAGUUCAAGGGAGGCUCCAUUUUCAACAAGAUCUAGAGGAAGAACCGAAGAGAGUCUGGCAGAGAGAGCAGAGCAGAGGAGAGAGAGAUGAGGGGGAAAGGCCAGCGCAUCGGCUGCAAAAUGUAUGUACUAAUGAGUGGAUUUCCAAAGUUCGACCCGAGAAAGGAAAUAGUAAGCACUUUGAAAACAAGUAAAAUUAAACAUUGGAAUGAAUGAGCCAUGGGUUAGGGUAUUAAGUAAAAAGAAAUAAAAGUCACAGUCAAUAAUGAUCCUUGGCCAAGAGGAGGACAAACCUAAGAAAUAAGAAGGGUUAACUAUCAGUAGACUGAGUGCGGGGCACGUCAGGUGUCCAAGGGAAUGCCAUGGAUCCCAGAGCAGAGAGCCAGGCAAGUGUCACAAUUUGAAGGCACUGCUGGGAUUUGAGAAAGAAGGGUCAGUGGCAACUGAUUUAGAAGGUGACAGGCGGUGCCCGGGGAGUGCGGCCCGGGGAGUGAGCUGGGCUUUCCACCACAGUGGUUCUUCCCGAGGGUGGGGGGGUGGUUUUCACCCGAGGGGGGCUGUGGGCACGGCCCCCAAGGCAGGCCUAUCAAAACAUCUGAGGGGGAGCAGUGCUCUGCUCCAACAAACACAAAACCAAAAAAACACAAAAAGAAACCCCAAAACCACGGCCCGAUGAUGAUGCUGAUAGGCGGUCUUGGGGGUCACGCGUCCUCGGGUGAGAAUCGCUGGGUGGAAGGGGCAGAGUGGAGGGCGGGCGGAGAGGUGAAGCUUGAGCAGAUGAGCCCCUGGGCCGGGGGUGACGUGGGGACAUCAGAGUCAGGACUGUCAGACACGGGGCAAAGGACGUGGGACCAGGAAGACAGCAAGCAGAUGGAUGUAGCCGAGAAGGCACCUGGCACACUGGGGACUGGGUGCGGAUUCACGGUCAGCGUGUAGGGAGUGGCGUGCCAAAGUGGUGUUCCCAGAGCUAGGGACGCUUCAGGACUCGGGCCGAGAGAGAGGAGAAUGGCGAUCGAAAGGAAGCUGUGUGAGCACCGUGAGCACAGAGCACGGGGCGGGCUGUCCACGCAGAAGGAAGGGGCGGGCGGGACAGGAGACCACAGGGCUGAU
This is a long non-coding RNA of Neofelis nebulosa (Clouded leopard), 3541 nucleotides long. RefSeq lists it as uncharacterized. The record is from RefSeq and is a predicted model, not a curated record. NCBI's taxonomy places the organism in Eukaryota, Metazoa, Chordata, Mammalia, Carnivora, Felidae. The transcript is spliced from 2 exons.